GCCCCGGUAGCUCAGUCCGGCAGAGCGGCGGGCUGCAGACCCGUAGGUCCCGGGUUCAAAUCCCGGCCGGGGCU
Molecule: transfer RNA, 74 nt
Filed under: Pyrobaculum arsenaticum DSM 13514
Lineage: Archaea; Thermoproteati; Thermoproteota; Thermoprotei; Thermoproteales; Thermoproteaceae
Also listed under: 2 other names
Description: tRNA-Cys (GCA) (tRNA-Cys-GCA-1-1)
Rfam family: tRNA
About the family: Transfer RNA (tRNA) molecules are approximately 80 nucleotides in length. Their secondary structure includes four short double-helical elements and three loops (D, anti-codon, and T loops). Further hydrogen bonds mediate the characteristic L-shaped molecular structure. tRNAs have two regions of fundamental functional importance: the anti-codon, which is responsible for specific mRNA codon recognition, and the 3' end, to which the tRNAs corresponding amino acid is attached (by aminoacyl-tRNA synthetases). tRNAs cope with the degeneracy of the genetic code in two manners: having more than one tRNA (with a specific anti-codon) for a particular amino acid; and 'wobble' base-pairing, i.e. permitting non-standard base-pairing at the 3rd anti-codon position.
Source: RNAcentral